UCAAUUUGAAAGCAUGAAUAAGAAUUUAGAAAAAUUAGGAAUUGGACAUAAUUAUCCUUACUAAUUAGUAUUUGAGACAAGUAGUAUUUUUGUUUGCUUUUACAGCUCGGAUCAGGUAAGAACAGCUAUGUGAGAACCUUAUAUGAGAAUCAAUCGUAGCCAUUGAAAUGCAUCCGGACGGUUUAGGAGAAAAAGCAAGCUUAGGGUGCAAACAUGUAGGCUGCAGUUUCCCCUUAGCCUGAUGUGUCAAGUCGCGCCUCUAUAAAAAAAAAAACCCGCCUUCGAUCUUCGUUACAGUCGCGCCUUUCUUCUAAAUUAAUUUAUGAAUGAACCCUAAUUGUAACACCCAAAAUUUCACCUAUCAGACCUAAAUUUGUGUAAUUCUCUUCUCUUGUCGUAGAAACUCCCUGGUAUAAUGUUUCUCUUUCACUUCCUCUUCUGUUGUCACAGAACCUCCCUCAUCUAGUCUUUCUAUUUCCCAGCCAUCUAAAGUCAUAAGAACGUCUGAAUCGGUAUGUUUCUCUCUCUCUCUCAUAUUAAGGUUUGCAUGUUAUAUUACAUUCACUUAAUGUUUAAAUUUUGUUUAGGAUUUUAGGGCUUUGAUUUUCUGGGUAAGAGUACUCUUUCUCUGUAGUAGUUGUGUUUGCAAAAACGUAAAUUGGCUUCAGUUACUUUUUUGUGUUGUGUUUUCUAGUUUCUAGUAAUUUGUUGAAGCAUAGUAACUCAUUUUUAAAGUUUUGCUACGAUUUAAAUAUUCUUCCUUUUUCCAAAAUUUGGGUUUUUUUUUUUUGCAAUUUUUUUUGGUAAUUUGUUGAAGUGUAGAUUCACAGUUGUUGCUUCUUCCUUUUUUUUUUUUUUUUUUUUUUGCAUUCUGCUUGUUGGUUGUCUUUCCUUAAAAUUCUAUGAACCUUUGUCGUUUGCUUUGACCUUUAUUGUAAUCCUGCUUUGCCCAUCUAGUGGUGUGAGUGUAGGUCAUCAUUUUAGUGAUUUAAUGGGGCUUGAAAAACAAAUAAUAAGUACUAUUAGAAGUAGAACUCAGAAGAGAAAACUGAAAAUCUUAAUUGUGAAUAUGAGAUGAUUUGGGAUGCAUAAGGAUCAAUGCAUCUUGUAGUAGGUAUCAAUUCUGUAUCUUAAUGUGUUGAAAAUAGUGUUGGUAGGUAUCAGUUCUGUAUCUUAAUGUGUUGAAAAUAGUGUUUGUAGGUGAAAAUUAUGUAUCUUAAUGUGUUGAAAAUAGUGUUUGUAGGUAUUAAUUAUGUAUUUUAAUGUGAUGAAGAUGUGUUGAUAAUAUUGUGAGUAGGUAUCACUUAUGUAUCUUAAUGUGUUCAUAAUAUUGUGAAUAGGUAUCACUUCUCUUUCUUAAGCAAGGUGUCUGUUGCAGGUAUAAAAUGGAGUCAGAGGUCUAUUCUGCGUGGGUGAAUAAUAUGUGUGUGGCGACACAGUCCUGUGUAAUUUUGGGGCGCAUUUCAGUGACUCGCUUAUGAAAAGAUUUAGAGAGAGCUGUUUAGGGCACCUGUUGGGCCUCCAUAAAAUUGCAUUUAGUGUUAAUGCCCGAUCUCGAUGAUUGUUGAUUACAUACAGCUUAUUAGGUUUUACAUACGAGUUUUGGGAAGAUAAUACUUUCAUAUGUUGUGAAGCACUUCCAAUACGGCCUGCCCAGAUUCCUUUCAAAUUUGGAAAAUAGCAUCACCAUCUCAGCAUUGCUGUGCCAACACCCCUUUGCUUUAGUGUUUGUUGAAGAAAUCGACAUCGCUUUGUCUAGAAGUGAAAAUGAAGAAAACAGAAGAAUUCAACUCUUCCAAAUAUUUGCUCAAAACCCAAAUUAUUUUCCUUUAAUUCUGAAAAGGAAUUGUAUUUUAUUUUUUGGUCUAAACAUAUAUGGAGUUUGAAGUUUGAAUUGAGAUUUUAGGGCCUUUUUUGGUCCUAACAAUCUAUGAGCGGAAAAUUCAAAUUUUUCAGGAUUUUUAAAAUUUUUUAACCCUAAUCCAUGAGCGGGAAAGAAGAGCAUUAUUGUAGGGACUUUUUUGUAUAUUUUUUUUACCCUAAACCCUACACAGUAAACACUAGGUGCCCAACCCCUAAACCCUUAAAAUUGAUCUUUAAAUCAAAAUUUAAGUGAAAAUGAAUAAAAAUUGGAAGUGGCGUGUGGCGGCAUCGGAAUGCGCCCCCAGUUGCUGAGGUUAGCAGCUCCUCACUCCAGCGCCGACACUUGGCAUUUCCUGAUUACUUUAUUACUUCUUCUUUUUUUGGGUUGCAAAAUUCAUAAAAAAUGCAGGAAAAAUCUGAAAAAUAUGGGUAAAAUUCCUAAGUAUCUGUAGGGAAGAAUACUUCGUAAGGAAAGUACAAUACUAGGUUUAUGAGUGACUGAAAAAUAAAAUUAGGGAGCGAAUCCUAGAAGUGGAUGACGCAAAUGAAAACACUAGUACACUUUGUAAACCCUACACUCUUAUUUGUUCGAUCACAUUAAUCCCGUAGCCAAAUUUGUAUGUCGCGACCUUUUUUGGGAUAUGUCAUCGAAGGGAAUCUCGUCACGAUCCUGGAGGAAUUCUUUUUGGAAUUUUUCCCCCUUAAUUUCGAUUUUUAAAUGAUUAUUUAAGUGAAAAUGAAUUAAAAAUUGGAAAAGUGGCAUGUUGCGGCAUGGGAAUGCGCCGCGUGUCGUUGAGGUUUGCAGCUCCAGAC
Molecule: long non-coding RNA, 2676 nt
Filed under: Prunus persica (peach)
Lineage: Eukaryota; Viridiplantae; Streptophyta; Magnoliopsida; Rosales; Rosaceae
Description: long non-coding RNA (PPER_LNC005912)
Source: RNAcentral